GGAUAUUGCGCAAUGGGCGAAAGCCUGACGCAGCAACGCCGCGUGCCCGAGGAAGGCCUUCGGGUUGUAAAGGGCUUUUCUGGCUGAAGAGGAAGGACGGUAAGCCAGGAAUAAGUGUCGGCUAACUACGUGCCAGCAGCCGCGGUAAAACGUAGGACACGAGCGUUAUCCGGAGUUACUGGGCGUAAAGGGCAGGUAGGCGGACAGGCAAGUUGGGUGUGAAAUCUCCCUGGCUUAACCGGGAGGGUGCACUCGAAACUGCUUGACUGGAGGGCGGCAGAGGAGCGUGGAAUUCCGGGUGGAGUGGUGAAAUGCGUAGAGAUCCGGAGGAACACCAGAGGCGAAAGCGGGGCUCUGGGCCGCACCUGACGCUGAACUGCGAAAGCCAGGGUAGCGAACGGG
RNAcentral lists this ribosomal RNA (402 nucleotides) under uncultured bacterium. RNAcentral describes it as "bacterial SSU rRNA". It matches the Rfam family "Bacterial small subunit ribosomal RNA", at positions 359 to 776 of the family's 1533-position model. The record is from RNAcentral.